CAUCCGUCCGUCUGUCCAC
Molecule: microRNA, 19 nt
Filed under: Homo sapiens (human)
Lineage: Eukaryota; Metazoa; Chordata; Mammalia; Primates; Hominidae
Description: hsa-miR-4800-3p
Source: miRBase by way of RNAcentral